This 651-nucleotide ribosomal RNA is filed under the name bacterium MS-AsV-45. Its description in RNAcentral is "bacterial SSU rRNA". It matches the Rfam family "Bacterial small subunit ribosomal RNA", at positions 103 to 758 of the family's 1533-position model. The record is from RNAcentral.
CGGGUGAGGAAUGCAUCGGAAUCUACUCUGUCGUGGGGGAUAACGUAGGAAACUUACGCUAAUACCGCAUACGACCUACGGGUGAAAGCAGGGAUCUUCGGACCUUGCGCGAUUGAAUGAGCCGAUGCCCGAUUAGCUAGUUGGCGGGGUAAGAGCCCACCAAGCGACGAUCGGUACUGGUCUGAGAGGAUGAUCAGCACACUGGAACUGAGACACGGUCCAGACUCCUACGGGAGCAGCAGUGGGGAAUAUUGGACAAUGGGCGCAAGCCUGAUCCAGCCAUACCGCGUGGGUGAAGAAGGCCUUCGGGUUGUAAAGCCCUUUUGUUGGGAAAGAAAAGCAUUCGGUUAAUACCCGAUUGUUCUGACGGUACCCAAAGAAUAAGCACCGGCUAACUUCGUGCCAGCAGCCGCGGUAAUACGAAGGGUGCAAGCGUUACUCGGAAUUACUGGGCGUAAAGCGUGCGUAGGUGGUUGUUUAAGUCUGUCGUGAAAGCCUGGGCUCAACCUGGGAAUUGCGAUGGAAACUGGGCGACUAGAGUGUGGCAGAGGGUAGUGGAUUCCUGGUGUAGCAGUGAAAUGCGUAGAGAUCAGGAGGAACAUCCGUGGCGAAGGCGACUGCCUGGGCCAACACUGACACUGAGGCACGAAA